CCCUGCUUCCAGGAAAAGCCUCUAAGCCUCAGGUAACAUCAAAUCGUACCCCAAACCGACACAGGUGGUCAGGUAGAGAAUACCAAGGCGCUUGAGAGAACUCGGGUGAAGGAACUAGGCAAAAUGGUGCCGUAACUUCGGGAGAAGGCACGCUGACACGUAGGUGAAGUGGUUUACCCAUGGAGCUGAAGUCAGUCGAAGAUACCAGCUGGCUGCAACUGUUUAUUAAAAACACAGCACUGUGCAAACACGAAAGUGGACGUAUACGGUGUGACGCCUGCCCGGUGCCGGAAGGUUAAUUGAUGGGGUCAGCGCAAGCGAAGCUCCUGAUCGAAGCCCCGGUAAACGGCGGCCGUAACUAUAACGGUCCUAAGGUAGCGAAAUUCCUUGUCGGGUAAGUUCCGACCUGCACGAAUGGCGUAAUGAUGGCCAGGCUGUCUCCACCCGGGACUCAGUGAAAUUGAACUCGCUGUGAAGAUGCAGUGUACCCGCGGCAAGACGGAAAGACCCCGUGAACCUUUACUAUAGCUUGACACUGAACACUGGUCCUUGAUGUGCAGGAUAGGUGGGAGGCUUUGAAGUGUGGACGCCAGUCUGCAUGGAGCCAUCCUUGAAAUACCACCCUUUAAUGGCUGGUGUUCUAACGUGGGCCCGUGAACCGGGUUGCGGACAGUGUCUGGUGGGUAGUUUGACUGGGGCGGUCUCCUCCUAAAGAGUAACGGAGGAGCACGAAGGUUGGCUAAUCCUGGUCGGACAUCAGGAGGUUAGUGCAAUGGCAUAAGCCAGCUUGACUGCGAGCGUGACGGCGCGAGCAGGUGCGAAAGCAGGUCAUAGUGAUCCGGUGGUUCUGAAUGGAAGGGCCAUCGCUCAACGGAUAAAAGGUACUCCGGGGAUAACAGGCUGAUACCGCCCAAGAGUUCAUAUCGACGGCGGUGUUUGGCACCUCGAUGUCGGCUCAUCACAUCCUGGGGCUGAAGUAGGUCCCAAGGGUAUGGCUGUUCGCCAUUUAAAGUGGUACGCGAGCUGGGUUUAGAACGUCGUGAGACAGUUCGGUCCCUAUCUGCCGUGGGCGCUGGAAGAUUGAGGGGGGCUGCUCCUAGUACGAGAGGACCGGAGUGGACGCAUCACUGGUGUUCGGGUUGUCAUGCCAAUGGCACUGCCCGGUAGCUACAUGCGGAAGAGAUAAGUGCUGAAAGCAUCUAAGCACGAAACUUGCCCCGAGAUGAAUCUUCCCUGAGCCUUUAAGGCUCCUGAAGGAACGUUGAAGACGACGACGUUGAUAGGCCGGGUGUGUAAGCGCAGCGAUGCGUUGAGCUAACCGGUACUAAUGAACCGUGAGGCUUAACCUUACA
Molecule: ribosomal RNA, 1352 nt
Filed under: Salmonella enterica
Lineage: Bacteria; Pseudomonadati; Pseudomonadota; Gammaproteobacteria; Enterobacterales; Enterobacteriaceae
Also listed under: 1 other name
Description: partial 23S ribosomal RNA
Rfam family: Bacterial large subunit ribosomal RNA
Source: RNAcentral